Myotis lucifugus (little brown bat) is the source of this 609-nucleotide long non-coding RNA. RefSeq lists it as uncharacterized. Lineage: Eukaryota; Metazoa; Chordata; Mammalia; Chiroptera; Vespertilionidae. The transcript is spliced from 2 exons. The record is from RefSeq and is a predicted model, not a curated record.
GUGCAUCAUUAUUCUCACUUGACAGAUGAGGUCACACGACUGGUAAAUGGCAAUGCUGGGAACCCACUAGGGGGAUCUGACGUUCAAACCAUGUCCCCAUCGCCCAGAAUGUACAAGCUGAUACAACUGGACAGAAGAGGAAGGCAGUGGCUCCGAGACCAGAAGGAUGGAGAGUGAGGAGGACUUUCCCUUACCUGGGUUGCAGAACCAUUUGAAUCUAGAGAACUCAUUGUAUGUGUGGUGUCUGCAUAGGUUUCUGGUAGUGCAUUCUCUGGCUGAUGUCCAAAGUCUUCAAAGCAGGGGGGCCUGAGAUAUGCCAAAAGGAACGCCUAUCUGUGGAAGAAGCCGGUCCACCCACCAAGAAGUUCUUGGUGGUCAGUGUCUGCGUGUCCCACUGCUGGGGUGAAGAGAAUUGGAAACCACUGAACAUUCCUGCUGGGAUCUUUCCAAGCCCUUUUGGGAACCGGCAACAGCUCUUGUCUGGGGAAAUUAGUUUUGCACUUUCACGGAGUGAGAAAUUCCUCAGGGGCAUUCUUGUACUUGGGAAGAGAAAUCAAACCCAGCUCAUUCCUUCAGGGCCCAUGCUAUUAAUAAAGCCGACCGAGUUCA